RNAcentral lists this transfer RNA (365 nucleotides) under uncultured Microcystis sp. RNAcentral describes it as "partial 16S-23S ribosomal RNA intergenic spacer". The stretch from base 136 to 209 matches the Rfam family "tRNA". Lineage: Bacteria; Bacillati; Cyanobacteriota; Cyanophyceae; Chroococcales; Microcystaceae. The record is from RNAcentral.
AAAGGGAGACCUAAUUCCGGUAGGAGACGAAAAAAAAGUAGUCCCAACCAAGAAUCAAUCCCAAAAGGUCGGAGCGAGGCGAAAUUGGCUUUCAAACUAGGUUCUGGGUUCACACAGGACCUGAAUCAGGAACAAGGGCUAUUAGCUCAGGUGGUUAGAGCGCACCCCUGAUAAGGGUGAGGUCCCUGGUUCGAGUCCAGGAUGGCCCACCUGCACAGGUGGCAAAAACAAAGAAAAAGAGCUCCGAAUCAGCACCUUAUCUUACUUAUACAGUAAGAGAGAAUGCUGGCUCUGAGUUCAGAGUCCAGAGGAACCUUGAAAACUGCAUAGAGCUAGGUGAAAAAGCCAAAAAAGAAGACCGCAAG